CCUGGUUGAUCUUGCCAGUAGUCAUAUGCUUGUCUUAAAGAUUAAGCCAUGCAUGUGUAAGUAUGAACUAAUUCAGACUAUGAAACUGUGAAUGGCUCAUUAAAUCAGUUAUAGUUUGUUUGAUGGUAUCUACUACUCGGAUAACCAUAGUAAUUCUAGAGCUAAUACGUGCAACAAACCUCGACUUUUGGAGGGGAUGCAUUUAUUAGAUAAAAGGUCGAUGCGGGCUAUGCCCGUUGCUCUGAUGAUUCAUGAUAACUCGACAGAUCGCACGACCUUUGUGCCGGUGAGGCAUCAUUCAAAAUUUUGCCCUAUCAACUUUCGAUGGUAAGAUAGUGGCUUACUCUGGUGGUGACGGGUGACAGAGAAUUAGGGUUCGAUUUUGGAGAGGGAGCCUGAGAAACGGCUACCACAUCCAAGGAAGGCAACAGGCGUGCAAAUUACCCAAUCCUGACACAGGGAGGUAGUGAUAAUAAAUAACAAUAUCGGGCUCUAUGAGUCUAGUAAUUGGAAUGAGUACAAUCUAAAUCCCUUAACGAGGAUCCAUUGGAGGCAAGUCUGGUGCCAGGGUCAUUCGGUCUACCUCACGGUGAGCACCGGUCUACUCGUUCCUACUAUCGGUGAUGCAUGCCUAGACUUAAUUGCCCGGGUCGUUCCUUCAGUGCUGUUACUUUGAAAAAAUUAGAGUGCUCAAAGCAGGCCUACGCUUGUAUACAUUAGCAUGGGAUAACAUCAUAGGAUUUCAGUCCUAUUGUGUUGGCUUAUGGGAUCGGAGUAAUGAUUAAUAGGGACAGUCAGGGGCAUUCAUAUUUCGUAGUCAGAGGUGAAAUUCUUGGAUUUAUGAAAGAUGAACAACUGCGAAAGCAUUUGCGAAGGAUGCUUUCAUUGAUAAAGAACGAAAGUUGGGGGCUCGAAAAUGAUAAGAUACCAUCCUAGUCUCAACCAUAAAUGAUGCCGACCAGGGAUCAGUGGAUGUUACUUAUAGGACUCCACCGGCACCUUAUGAGAAAUCAAAGUCUUUGGGUUCCGGGGGGAGUAUAGUCACAAGGCUGAAACUUAAAGGAAUUGACGGAAGGGGUAUUCAACGAGUCUAUAGCCUUGGCCGACAGGCCCAGGUAAUCUU
This 1123-nucleotide ribosomal RNA is filed under the name Durio zibethinus. RNAcentral's name for it is "SSU rRNA". It matches the Rfam family "Eukaryotic small subunit ribosomal RNA", at positions 3 to 1553 of the family's 1831-position model. The record is from RNAcentral. Lineage: Eukaryota; Viridiplantae; Streptophyta; Magnoliopsida; Malvales; Malvaceae.